Non-coding RNA from Xyrichtys novacula (pearly razorfish), 1224 nucleotides. NCBI's taxonomy places the organism in Eukaryota, Metazoa, Chordata, Actinopteri, Labriformes, Labridae. The record is from the annotation of a GenBank genome assembly.
CCUGUCAAUAUUUUCUACAGAUCAUGUACCUCGGUGCAGCAAACAACAAUCGGUUCUCAACUGCACUGACCUUCUUCCUACAAUCAGUGGAUAAAUACAGAUUUCCAUCAUGGUAAAUAAUACAGCCUCAUAAGUUAAUACCUUGCCUUACCUUCUUGACCACAGUAUGCAAUUUUGUAUUCCAUGCAUGUAAAGAAUGUACAGAAUAUCAGCUGAGUAGGUACUACUUAUGUGUAUUAAAAAUAUGUUUUUUGUUGGCUCAGAGCAGAAACAAUGCUGCUUAAAGAUGAAGUGCUAUUUUUCCAGUUUUGACCUUAUGUCUUGCAUAAAAUAUGAUCAUUUACUUUAUCCUUAAAACAUUUGUGUAACCAGAAGUCCUUUGGAAGAUAUUUUGAAUAUACGUUAAGUUAAAUGAGUAGUACUUAAUAGUCUUGUCAGCUUAAAUUAAAUAUAAUUAAACAUAAAAAACUUUUAUUUUAGUAUACUAAAUCUAUUUUGAACAAACAAUUUCACACAACAGGUUCACAUUCCCAUCCGCAUUUUAAUCCUGAUGAAAUUAACAUUGCAAUAAUUGGACAAAUGUGGUAAAAAUGUUGAUUAGAGAAUGACAGAAUUUUGGUAGAGCCAGUCAGAACGAAUCGACCAGUCGACUAAAAGAGACUACAGCUCCCGCUGUCCGAAGGUUGACACUUUGAUUGAAAAAAAAUGUUGAUGCAAAGUUUAAAGUCUUUUGAGUUCCACAAAUAAAAAAUGCACACAUUUUUUAAUUUUUAAGGGUAAGAGGAGAUCAUGUAGUCGAGAAUGUUGACAUUGCGCGGCUAAUGUUCUCUGUCAAGCAAACAGGAAGGUCCAGUUUCAUUGCUGGGAAGAGUGUGCACAAUCAAAGGCAAGGCAGGCUUUUGUCACCCCCCCCCCCUUUAGGCUAUAAUUUAACAACAACAAAAAAGAAAUUAUAUAAAAAAUUCACUUGGUAAUGAUAAUCAUUUUUACUCUGAGACCUUUUGGUAAAAUCACUGGUUAAACAAAAGUAAUUAAAAAAUGUUAUGCAUGAAUGUAUGUAAACCAUAGCUAAUCUUACUCAAACUCUCUUAACAGAAUUGAGCGACUCUGUGUGCUGCACUCACUAGAGGAGGAUGGUUUGCCUGACCUGUCAAACAUUGCACACCUCUUCAGUUGUCAUUCUGCAUCUCUGCCAAGACUACAAGUGAGUCUGGAUAUCUUCAG